This 1867-nucleotide long non-coding RNA is filed under the name Olea europaea subsp. europaea. The record is from RNAcentral. Lineage: Eukaryota; Viridiplantae; Streptophyta; Magnoliopsida; Lamiales; Oleaceae.
AUUCCCACGCUUAACCAGUUGGGAACUUUGCUAAUCUUCUCACCAACUGCAGGUAUGCGCAUAUUCUUUGACCCGUCCUUUUACGUAUUCUUGAAAUUCUUCCCUCGAAUUUUCCUUUUGUGUUUUUUUAAUUGGUCUUUUCCGUGUCAAUUGCUUCUUUUGCUUCAUGUAAUUGUCUCCUUUGUAUGGUUAGAGUAAUAAAUCAUAAUUAAGUUUUGUGAUUAAAACAAAAGAUCUUGCCCAUUAUUAUAGACGCAGUCACUUCGUGAGAUAAAAAUAAUUAUCCGAAUUGCUGUUGGGUAUUUUUUUGCUUAUCCUUUUUCUUAUUUGUUUUGUCCAUUCGUCCUAUACAUAAUUUUCAGCUCUUAUGUUAUUUUCUGGGAAUUUUUUUUAUUAUUGCUAUUUUGCGAUGAUUCUCAAAAAGAAAGGCUUUUUAACGACACUACACAAUUACAUGAUAGUUGGUUCCAGUUAUAACUUGUAAGUAAGCGUCUCUCUCUCCCUCUCUCUUUGUUUUUUGUUUUCUAGUUCCUUUUAUUUUAUUAUUAUUAUUAUUAUUAUUAUUAUUAUUUUUUUUGCCAUUUACAUUAGGGAAUAAUUUAUGAUUUUGUUAUACAGGGUGAUUAAUUGAAUUUUGAAAUAUUUUGUUUUAAAAUUCUAGUUUAGUACUGUGCGUAAUUGUUAGAAUUCAGUUAUUGCUGCGUUUUUAAUUUUCUGUGGAAGUGGAAAUGGAAAUGAAUUCUAAAGAGUCUGCCUUAAUAAGUACAUUGAGCACCUUUAUUUACAAGUCGAUUUUAAGGAAUGAGUUUUUCGUGAUGUAAUUUCUUAUCUAUGAUGUAAUAAAAAGUUGGAAAAUUUUGCUCUCGAGUUUUUUGUACUAUCAGAUUCUUUCUUUCUCCUAAUGAUACUAAAUCCCUGUUUGAUUUAACUAAAAAUGUAAGUCUAAUUUAACAAUUAAUUUUCACUAUACAUUUUAAUUAAAUACAAAAAAUUCAUCAAAUUUUCAACCAAAUGAGUGAUAUGUUCUGUCCAAAUCAUCAAAACACUUUCCGGACUGAUUUAUUGUAUGAAUAACAGCAAUUCAGCAAACCUGCUUAAAGCAUACACUAAACUCAAGCAUGCAUCCGCUGUUUCUCUAUCAGCGUCAUUCUUCUCUAUUAUCUUUUUCCAGAUUACUUAAUUUAUAGUCUAAACCAACUCCAUAUUUUCAGGCCUCAAGCCAACGCCUCCAUUCGUAUUUCAUUUUGGCUGGAAAUGUGUUUAACAAUGGCCUACAACAAUUUAUGUAGUAAGUCUUUAAAUCGAUUGCAAAAUACUUGUACAAUAAAAUCCCCACAGUGAGAAGUGUUGAAGGUUGCAUGCUCUUCAUCGAAAGAAUAGAUUAGACAUGAGAGGUGAAAUUUUAUUACCUUAUUGCAGGGUCGAAGAAGGUGGAAAGAAAAGUAUAAUACCCAACAUGAAAAAAUGUCCCGACCAUUCGAGAAGCACGGGAAUGCCUACCUGCAAAGCAAAACCAAAGUACAACUCCUCUUUAACUGUAAUAAUAAUGGGUGUUGAACAUCUUGCUGUGACUACCGGAUGAUGUUAGAUAAUGACGAAAUGUUCAAUAGCGAUAAAAUUGAAUAGUAUUAAGAAUGAAAAAGAGUUAAACUCUUGUUUACUAUAUUGUGUAAUUUUGUCGAAUUCAAAAGAAUGAGAAAUUAGUGAUGGGUCUGUUGUUUGUGUACGAAAUUAAGGUUUAUGUUUUGCUAAAAAUAUAUCAUGUAAAAUCUGUACUUGUCAAAUUUUUGCCUUGACUUUGUAAAUAUAGUUAUGUCAGAGGUUGAGGAAUUUUUGUUGUUGGAAUUACUUGUUAUGAAAAAAGCUU